UGGGGAAUAUUGGACAAUGGGCGAAAGCCUGAUCCAGCCAUGCCGCGUGUGUGAAGAAGGUCUUCGGAUUGUACAGCACUUUAAGUUGGGAGGAAGGGCAGUAAGCGAAUACCUUGCUGUUUUGACGUUACCGACAGAAUAAGCACCGGCUAACUCUGUGCCAGCAGCCGCGGUAAUACAGAGGGUGCAAGCGUUAAUCGGAAUUACUGGGCGUAAAGCGCGCGUAGGUGGUUCGUUAAGUUGAAUGUGAAAGCCCCGGGCUCAACCUGGGAACGGCAUCCAAAACUGGCGAGCUAGAGUAGGGCAGAGGGUGGUGGAAUGUCCUGUGUAGCGGUGAAAGGCGUAGAUAUAGGAAGGAACAACAGAGGGGAAGGCGACCACCUGGGCUCAUACUGAAACUGAGGUGCGAAAGCGUGGGGAGCAAACAGG
This 429-nucleotide ribosomal RNA is filed under the name Pseudomonadota bacterium. RNAcentral's name for it is "Proteobacteria bacterium partial 16S ribosomal RNA". It matches the Rfam family "Bacterial small subunit ribosomal RNA", at positions 355 to 776 of the family's 1533-position model. Lineage: Bacteria; Pseudomonadati; Pseudomonadota. The record is from RNAcentral.